AGGAGGAGCAGGAGGAGGAUGAAGCUCAGUUCCAGGAGACAGAUUCAGGCAGUGAUGAAGACUUCCUGAUGGAGGAUGAUGAUGACAGUGACUAUGGCAGUUCAAAAAA
Non-coding RNA from Zonotrichia albicollis (white-throated sparrow), 109 nucleotides. The record is from RefSeq and is a predicted model, not a curated record. NCBI's taxonomy places the organism in Eukaryota, Metazoa, Chordata, Aves, Passeriformes, Passerellidae.